UCACAACCUCCAUGAACGAGGGU
Molecule: microRNA, 23 nt
Filed under: Schmidtea mediterranea
Lineage: Eukaryota; Metazoa; Platyhelminthes; Tricladida; Dugesiidae
Description: sme-miR-67-3p
Gene: sme-miR-67-3p
Source: miRBase by way of RNAcentral